Molecule: ribosomal RNA, 507 nt
Filed under: uncultured bacterium
Lineage: Bacteria
Description: partial 16S ribosomal RNA
Rfam family: Bacterial small subunit ribosomal RNA
Source: RNAcentral
GAUGAACGCUAGCUACAGGCUUAACACAUGCAGGUCGAGGGGAAACGACAUCGAAAGCUUGCUUUGAUGGGCGUCGACCGGCGCACGGGUGAGUAACGCGUAUCCAACCUGCCCACCACUUGGGGAUAACCUUGCGAAAGUAAGACUAAUACCCAAUGACGUCUCUAGAAGACAUCUGAAAGAGAUUAAAGAUUUAUCGGUGAUGGAUGGGGAUGCGUCUGAUUAGCUUGUUGGCGGGGUAACGGCCCACCAAGGCGACGAUCAGUAGGGGUUCUGAGAGGAAGGUCCCCCACAUUGGAACUGAGACACGGUCCAAACUCCUACGGGAGGCAGAAGUUAGGAAUAUUGGUCAAUGGGCGAGAGCCUGAACCAGCCAAGUAGCGUGCAGGAUGACGGCCCUAUGGGUUGUAAACUGCUUUUAUAAGGGAAUAAAGUGAGUCUCGUGAGACUUUUUGCAUGUACCUUAUGAAUAAGGACCGGCUAAUUCCGUGCCAGCAGCCGCGGUAA